RNAcentral lists this transfer RNA (70 nucleotides) under Tethyaster vestitus. RNAcentral's name for it is "tRNA-Glu". Lineage: Eukaryota; Metazoa; Echinodermata; Asteroidea; Paxillosida; Astropectinidae. The record is from RNAcentral.
AUUCUUAUAGUUAAAACAUAACAAUAGCUUUUCAUGCUAUAAGUUCGGACUGACACUUCCGAUAAGAAUU